Molecule: ribosomal RNA, 1593 nt
Filed under: Gregarina niphandrodes
Lineage: Eukaryota; Apicomplexa; Conoidasida; Eugregarinorida; Gregarinidae
Description: SSU rRNA
Rfam family: Eukaryotic small subunit ribosomal RNA
Source: RNAcentral
GCCAUGCAAGUCUAAGUAUAAGUUUUCACACGACGAAACUGCGAAUAGCUCAUUAAAACACUUAUUAUAACAAUGAGACAAUUCUUCAAUGGAUAUCCAUGGAAAAUCUGAAGCUAAUACAUGUCGCAUUUCAUGCGUGAUUGGUCUUUAGUAAAACUCGGUAGCACUUCGGUGCUCUAGGUGAUCGGAUAGACUCAGAUAUCGCUUUAGCGAGGACUCAUUUCAGUUUGUGACCUAUCAGCUUGGUUGGUAAGGUAUUGGCUUACCAAGGCUAUUACAGGUGACGGGGAAUUAGGGUUUGAUUCCGGAGAGGGAGCCUGAGAGACGGCUACCACAUCUAAGGGUGGCAGCAGGCGCGCAAAUUACUCAGUCCCGACACGGGGAGGUAGUGAACAAAAAUAGUGGCAUAAAGCAUAUUGUUUUAUGACUGCAAUGAGUGAAAAUUACAUCGUUUCACGAGUAACAAUUGGAGGGCAAGUCUGGUGCCAGCAGCCGCGGUAAUUCCAGCUCCAAUAGCAUAUAUUUGAGUUGCUGCAGUUAAAGCGUCCGUAGUUAGAUAUCAAUUGGUUUGACAGCAACCUGUAAAGGGAUGCAACUUAAACCUUUAACUUGUUACCUUGAGAAAAAGGAGGCGCCUAAGGCACGCGAUAUGUGUGAACUAUCUAGCAUGGAAUAGCACAUUUAAACUGUCAAUAAACAUGCCGAAUGUUUGUUGAUUAGGAUGAUUGAUAAGGGCAGUCGGGGACACUUGUACUUGCUGGAGAGAGGUGAAAUUCUGAGACCCGGCAAAGACACUCAAAUGCGAAAGCUUUUGUCCAGAAUGUUCCUGUUAAUCAAGGACUAAAGUUGGGGGAUCGAAGACGAUUAGAUACCGUCGUAGUCCCAACCGUAAACCAUGCCGACUGAUCGUUGGUUAGAAGUCUGUAUUCUUUUCAGCGUUCGAAAGAAAUUGAAGUUUUUGGGCCCUGGGGGGAGUAUGGUUGCAAGACUGAAACUUAAAGGAAUUGACGGAAGGGCACCACCAGGAGUGGAGCUUGCGGCUUAAUUCGACUCAACGCGUGAAAUUUUACCAGGUCCGGACAUAGUUAUGAUUGACAAACUAAAAGAUUUUUCUAAAUUCUAUGGGUGGUGGUGCAUGGCCGUUCUUAGUCGGUGAGGUGACUUGUCUGGUUUAUUCCGAUAACGGACGAGACCUUGACCUUUAAUUCUUGACUGUUAUCUUAAACGGAAGAGUCUUAAAGGGACUCAAUGUUCCAAACAUUGGGAAGAUCAAGGCAAUAACAGGUCUGUGAUGCCCUUAGAUAACCUGGGCUGCACGUGUGCUACAAUAACAUGCACAACGAGUACCAAUAUCGAAACGAUGUUGUGAAUCUUCAAAGCGUGUUAAGGUGGGGAUUGUCGGUUGUAAUUGUCCGUCAUAAACGAGGAAUUCCUAGUAAGCGCAAGUCAUUAUCUUGAGUUGAUUUCGUCCCUGCCCUUUGUACACACCGCCCGUCGCUUCAACCGAUUGGAUGGUUAGGUGAAUUUUGUGGAUCGAAAGGCUUCGGCCUAUUGUGAAACAACGUGAGCCUAACUGUUAGAGGAUGAAGAAGU